CGCGGUGCUGGUCGGCGGAGGAGAGCCGGCCGUAGAGCGGCAGCACCUCGGUGUGCGCGAGGUUGCGGCUGCGGAUCGCGUCCUCGGCGUCGCGG
This 95-nucleotide transfer RNA is filed under the name Clavibacter michiganensis. RNAcentral's name for it is "tRNA-Ser". The record is from RNAcentral. Lineage: Bacteria; Bacillati; Actinomycetota; Actinomycetes; Micrococcales; Microbacteriaceae.